CAUGCACUGGUGGGGUUCCUCAGCCUGGCCUGCGCCCUCUUGCAAUCCGGUACCCCUAGGGGGAAUGUUGGAGAGCCGGUUUUGGCAUGAUCUCUGCAGGCCAGGCUGAGGGACUCCACCGGUGCAUG
Molecule: microRNA precursor, 128 nt
Filed under: Myotis lucifugus (little brown bat)
Lineage: Eukaryota; Metazoa; Chordata; Mammalia; Chiroptera; Vespertilionidae
Description: mir-9193 microRNA precursor family
Rfam family: mir-9193 microRNA precursor family
Source: Rfam by way of RNAcentral